This 469-nucleotide ribosomal RNA is filed under the name uncultured bacterium. Its description in RNAcentral is "partial 16S ribosomal RNA". It matches the Rfam family "Bacterial small subunit ribosomal RNA", at positions 28 to 507 of the family's 1533-position model. The record is from RNAcentral.
GACGAACGCUGGCGGCGUGCUUAACACAUGCAAGUCGAACGGAAAGGCCCUGCUUGCCGGGUGCUCGAGUGGCGAACGGGUGAGUAACACGUGGGUGAUCUGCCCCUUACUUUGGGAUAAGCCUGGGAAACUGGGUCUAAUACUGGAUAGGACCAUGCUGUAGGUGGCGUGGUGGAAAGAUUAGUUUCGGUAAGGGAUGAGCUCGCGGCCUAUCAGCUUGUUGGUGGGGUAAUGGCCUACCAAGGCGUCGACGGGUAGCCGGCCUGAGAGGGUGGACGGCCACAUUGGGACUGAGAUACGGCCCAGACUCCUACGGGAGGCAGCAGUGGGGAAUAUUGCACAAUGGGCGCAAGCCUGAUGCAGCGACGCCGCGUGGGGGAUGACGGCCUUCGGGUUGUAAACUCCUUUCAGCCAUGACGAAGCCCUUGUGGUGACGGUAGUGGUAGAAGAAGCACCGGCUAACUACGUG